RNAcentral lists this ribosomal RNA (475 nucleotides) under uncultured bacterium. RNAcentral's name for it is "SSU rRNA". It matches the Rfam family "Bacterial small subunit ribosomal RNA", at positions 26 to 523 of the family's 1533-position model. The record is from RNAcentral.
AGAACGAACGCUGGCGGCAUGCCUAACACAUGCAAGUCGAACGCUUCACCGGUUUCGGCCGGUGGGGAGUGGCGCACGGGUGAGUAGCGCGUGGGAACCUGCCCUGUUGUGGGGGAUAACCGAGGGAAACUUCGGCUAAUACCGCAUAAGCCGGUUGUCUUGAAAGAGAUGGCCGGGAAAGAUUUAUCGCGACAGGAGGGGCCCGCGUCGGAUUAGCUAGUUGGUGGGGUAACGGCCCACCAAGGCAGUGAUCCGUAGCUGGUCUGAGAGGAUGAUCAGCCACACUGGGACUGAGACACGGCCCAGACUCCUACGGGAGGCAGCAGUGGGGAAUAUUGGACAAUGGGCGCAAGCCUGAUCCAGCAAUGCCGCGUGAGUGAUGAAGGCCUUAGGGUUGUAAAGCUCUUUCGCCCGCGACGAUGAUGACGGUAGCGGGAGAAGAAGCCCGGCUAACUCGCGCCAGCAGCCGCGGUAA